RNAcentral lists this ribosomal RNA (496 nucleotides) under uncultured bacterium. RNAcentral describes it as "partial 16S ribosomal RNA". It matches the Rfam family "Bacterial small subunit ribosomal RNA", at positions 28 to 506 of the family's 1533-position model. The record is from RNAcentral.
GAUGAACGCUGGCGGCGUGCCUAAUACAUGCAAGUCGAGCGAACAGAUGAGGAGCUUGCUCCUCUGACGUUAGCGGCGGACGGGUGAGUAACACGUGGAUAACCUACCUAUAAGACUGGGAUAACUUCGGGAAACCGGAGCUAAUACCGGAUAAUAUAUUGAACCGCAUGGUUCAAUAGUGAAAGACGGUUUUGCUGUCACUUAUAGAUGGAUCCGCGCCGCAUUAGCUAGUUGGUAAGGUAACGGCUUACCAAGGCAACGAUGCGUAGCCGACCUGAGAGGGUGAUCGGCCACACUGGAACUGAGACACGGUCCAGAAUCCUACGGGAGGCAGCAGUAGGGAAUCUUCCGCAAUGGGCGAAAGCCUGACGGAGCAACGCCGCGUGAGUGAUGAAGGUCUUCGGAUCGUAAAACUCUGUUAUUAGGGAAGAACAAAUGUGUAAGUAACUAUGCACGUCUUGACGGUACCUAAGCAGAAAGCCACGGCUAACUACGU